RNAcentral lists this long non-coding RNA (890 nucleotides) under Ficedula albicollis (Collared flycatcher). Its description in RNAcentral is "lncRNA (ENSFALG00000027810.1)". Lineage: Eukaryota; Metazoa; Chordata; Aves; Passeriformes; Muscicapidae. The record is from RNAcentral.
CACAUCAAUACUAAUGUGGAGUAGAUUAAAAGAUGAUUUUAUGGUAAAAGUACGUCCAGGGCUGAGAUGAGGUUUGGAAACAGCUCUGAGGACUGACAGAACUCCAGGGUGAGGGAGUGAAAAAGCUUGUUCCUUCCCUGCCAGGAAUUGUGAAGGACUGUGAUGGUUUUGCUGUGAAACUUGUGGGGAUGGUGUAAGGAAGAGAGUCUGAGCACCCACUAGAGGGAAAGAGACAGAGGGCAGGAAAAUGAGGUAAUUUCCAUUCAGAGGCUGAUAAAGGUUUGGAGAGGUACAUGUUGUCCCUGGGCAACAACUGUGAUUUUGGCCAACCAAUGCUUGCUGAAACCAAAUUUAACCAAAAGCCUGAAAGAGAGAGUUUGGUCCUUUAAAGUAAAGGCAUCUUAGUGACAGCUGGUGAGCUUGCAUGUGACUGUAUAUUUAUCCCUAUGGCCCUUUAAUUUAAAAUGUUCUUCCAUAAAGUCAGAACAAACAGAGCAUUUUUGUUGUAGCAUGCUUGAUUCCUAAACUGACUUUCUUUCCAAAGCAGGUGUGUGGAAAUAAUGAGUGUUGUCAUCAACAUGAAGGAAGUAGCCAGAAGAAAAAUCCUUCAGCUCCCAGCUGGGUGAGUGGGAAAGGUGGAAGGCAGACUCAGCCAGGGGGCCUUAUGGAAGCUGAAUUAGAAGAACACAGCGUUUUUGGUUUUGCCAAGGUGCAAAAGCCCACGAGAAGCAGUGGAAAGUUGUGUUGACCUCGACCACUCCAAAGUUUGGAUCUUCCCUUUGUAUGGAAAGCUGUGCUUCUGCCUCAAUCCUGCUGGCAGCAAAAAAACCUUGCUCCAGUUCUCCCUGCAGAACUGUUUGGUGCACAGACUUUAACAAACGAGUCCCUCA